AUAUCAGGAGCUGUUUUCUCAAUUGAAGUCUUUGAAUCUUCUCUUCAUCUUUGGCAGUCGGAUGAAUCUGGUAUUGGGUGUCUUCUCUACUUGAUUGAUGUUAUUGCAAGCCUCCUUAGUGGGAGACUUGUUCGUGAACGAAUUGGUCCAGCCAUGUUAAGUGCUGUACAAAGCCAGAUGGGAGCUGUUGAGACAAGCUUUGAGGAGGUCCAGAACAUCUUUGACACUGGUGGUGCCAAGGGAUUGCCUGGAGCUUCUGUUGAAAAGAUCCCCAAGAUCAAAAUCACAAGCAAUAACAAUGUAGAUGCUUCAGGGGAGAGAGUCGGUUGUUCUGUCUGCCUUCAGGACUUUCAGCUUGGAGAGAUGGUCAGAAGCUUGCCUCAUUGUCAUCACAUGUUUCACCUACCUUGCAUAGAUAUGUGGCUCCUGAGGCAUGCAUCUUGCCCACUGUGUAGAAGGGAUCUGUGAUGUGGUGUUUCCUUUUUUUUUUUUUUUUUUUUAACCAUGUAAAUUACAAAAUGGGAAAUGGUUAUUUUGUCAAUUAUUUUUUUUGGCAUCAAAAAAAAAAAAAAAAAA
RNAcentral lists this unclassified non-coding RNA (576 nucleotides) under Hevea brasiliensis (rubber tree). Lineage: Eukaryota; Viridiplantae; Streptophyta; Magnoliopsida; Malpighiales; Euphorbiaceae. The record is from RNAcentral.